This is a long non-coding RNA of Chroicocephalus ridibundus (black-headed gull), 3199 nucleotides long. RefSeq lists it as uncharacterized. The record is from RefSeq and is a predicted model, not a curated record. The transcript has 4 exons. NCBI's taxonomy places the organism in Eukaryota, Metazoa, Chordata, Aves, Charadriiformes, Laridae.
UACAACUCCCAGGGAAACACGUUUCAUGUAUCAUUUUAGUUCACUGGGUGACUCCAGCUAGUGCCUGGUGCUGAGCUACGGGCUUCGCAAUCAGGUGAUAUGUUAUUUAUAGUCUAAAAUAAUGAGCCCUAGCUUGGGAAAACACAUUCUCUGAAAGCUCCCAGGGCAGGUUCGGCACAUAUUUUCAUGGUGAGUUGUACCUUACAUCACCCCGUUUCUUCCCAGACUGCGUUAAGGAGCUAUUGGCCUGUCUGACGCUGCUCCUGAAGGGCUUGAAUGCGGGAACGUGGCGAUGGCCCGUGUCCUGCCAGCCCUGCCUCAGGGAAGCCACUGCCAGCGGCUCCAGCAACAGCCUGGGUGGAUGAUGGAGAGGAGCAAACGCGCGGUGGGACUGCAUUGAGAGCGAUUGCCCCACGAGAGGUGCGGAGGGGUGGAGGACACGUGGCAUGGGACAUGGCCUGGUUUGUCCCCAGCAGAAGGACGGCUUCACCGAGCGGCUCAAGUGCUGGCUCAGCGGAGCAAAUACAGGCUCCGAGCGCAGGAGCUUGAUCCGGUGGCUGGGAAUCCAUCACAGCCUGGACACGAGGAGUCAAUCGCGUCAUGAGCAAAGGCUUUGUGUCAUGGUGUGAAUGCAACAUGUUCGACAGCAUACCUGCCGGGGAAAAUAUCGUCUGCGAUGGCAACCUCCAGGACAGCGUGAGCAGCAAGGCAGCAUCUGUUCCUCCCCACCGGAGCCGCCGUGAUGGACUGCCAAGGACGGAGCUCCCUCCUCCCAACUUCCCGCUGUCUGGAAGCCAAGAACUUCAAGCUGAUCAAAGAAACAAACACUUUUAAUGAAACAUAUGCAAGAUACUUAGAAGGAGAAGAUUCACAAUGCAUCUGCUGCGGGACCAGAAGGCUUAUCAAAAGUGUGAAGUAGGAGGAGAAAAAUUACUAGCGUAUGAUGCCAGAGAAGAUUACAGAAAUAUUAAGCAGAAGGAAUGUAAACACGUAUAGCUGGUGAUAGCUGGCGCGGGGCUCGCCGUGCACAAAGAGCUGCCGUGCAGCGUGGGGCUGGGGAUGCUCUUGCUGGUGCGUGCAAGAGCCAACGUGCAGGGGAUGGGGGCCGGUACCCGGGUACCCAACCCUCCCCUCCCAGCCCCGAUGGGCUCCGUGGGAUCAGGCAGGGCCAGCCACGGCCACAUCCACCCGUUGGUGGACAGUCCCCUCCCAGGAGCCCCCCUCUCCUGCCGCCUGGCUCCAGCUCGACGCCGGGACACCAGCGCAGAUCUCGCCACGCCGGCCGGUCAGCUGUCCUCAAAGCCCGGGAGCCUUGCAACGGCGAUUUGUUGGCAUUUUCCUCAUGAAACAAAAACUUCAAUGUGAUAUCCAUUUUCUUGCAACAUAUUUUAUGGAAAAUGUAAAUAUUGUGAAAAACUGUAAUUUCUGUUGAUAAUAGAGUAGGUUUAUUAUCAGCAGGAAUAUCGCGUAAUUAUUUCUGUUCCACAUUCAGGAGUGAGCAGACAUAUGGCUUUAUCUAUUUCAGCCACUGGCCAAAUUCUGCUCUCCCUUAACCCUUCCAACCUUGGUGAAUUCAGCGAGGCUGCACAAUUAUAGCUGGCAGCAGGAUCUGGCGCUCUUAUUUCUUGUUAAAUGACUAUUUUUUUUCAUUUCGGAGCUGCCUUCCUGACCUCCCCCCCACAUGCAGGCUGCUGCCCUUGCUGUGCACUGUAGUUUUGCUUCUCCCUUUAUGGCGCUGGCGGUUGCCUGCAAUGGGCUUUUUCUGCCAGUAAGUGCCACCGACGGCUCUGCUGGGGCUGUCCCAGUGGGGGCUCUGCCCCCUCCCCAGCUUCGGGGGAGCCCAGUGAGGGCAGGGGCAGGGCACGGUGCCCUCGGGAUGGCAGCUGGGCAGACGGGGCUGCUGUACCACUGCCCGUCUUUGCGUAACCCAUGAAGGGCUGGACCAGCAGCGCGUUUACCUCCGUGAGCUCCUCUGGCCCAGCGUGAGCCGGGGGCGAGAGGCAGCAGUGCUGUCCCCAGGCUCCGGGCUUCCCCGAUGGCGGUGGCUGCCGUGCGCCGUGAUGCUCUGCGUUUCCCUCUGCUGACCUAGCAGCAUGAGAAACCUCAUAGGCAGCACCGUCUCUGGGUACUGUCAAAUAAUCAGCCAUCACCAUCCAUCAGCACUGACUGUCCUGUCUCCGUCACUGUUCUCUCCCAUCUCUUUUCCCCACACCCACUCAGGAAAAUGCCUGGUUUUCCCUUUGCCUGAGGAAGCCGACACUCCAGUUUCCCUCUUGGCAUGGCUCCACAGGCGGACGGGGGACGAGUCGAGGGGACGCGGCAGGUCCCGGCUGCCAGGUCAGUUUUGCCCUGAGGUUACCAGCCACAGAAGACCCACCAGCAUAUGCCGAGGUGGCCAGGAGGCAGGUUUAAUGUAUGCUCCUGACCUUUCCGAUCCCUCUGCUGAGCUCCGCAUCUGCGAGGCUGCCUGGUCGCCCAAGAGGGACGGAUGUCCUCUCUCUGCCCUGUUUGGGAGAUGAAGCCGCCGCUGCCUCCCCAUCUCCCCGACUGGAGAAGAGGAGGAAGAGCAGCAGCCUCUGAAACCAGUGGGCGUCACCACCACUGUCACCUCUUCCUGAAACUGCUGGCAGAUGCUGCCUUGCCUUUUGUGGACAUGGCUGCCAACAGGGGUAAAGGAGAACAAUUUCAGCUGGAAGGGACCUACAAGGAUCAUCUCGUCCAACUGCCUGACCCCUCCAGGCCCGACCAAAAGUUAAAGCAUGUUGUUAAGGCCACUGUCCAAAUGCUUCUUCAACACUGCCAGGCGUGGGGCAUCCACCACUUCUCCAGGAAGCCUUUUCCAGGGUUUGACCACCCUCUUGGUAAAGAAAUGCUUCCUAACGUCCAGUGUGGAAGGUUCAAGACUUCAAGGAAGGUUGCCACGCUGCCGUCCAUGGACCACCGGUGGUCCAAGGAGCAGAAACUGGGGCCCUUUCCUCUUAUUUCCAAGCAGUUGUUCUGGGUGUGCAACACAGUUGUGAAGAAGCACUUCCAAACUCCGCAUUCAGGUAAAGAGCAGCGUCUGCUUCGGAAAAGCUCAAGCAUUCCUUUAUAAACGCGCUGUUUAUUGUGCUUUAUAAAUAGCUCUCACGGUGACAUGUAAAGCCUGAAGUAUUGCGUUCCGCUCAGCACAGUGGUGCUUGUUGGAGAAGGAGCCCUA